AGAAUCAACGCUGGCGGCGUGCCUAACACAUGCAAGUCGCACGAGAAAGUGGAGCAAUCCAUGAGUACAGUGGCGCACGGGUGAGUAACACGUGACUAACCUACCCUCGAGUGGGGAAUAACCUAGGGAAACCUGGGCUAAUACCGCAUAACACUUACGAGUCAAAGCAGCAAUGCGCUUGGGGAGGGGGUCGCGGUCGAUUAGUUAGUUGGCGGGGUAAUGGCCCACCAAGACGAUGAUCGAUAUCCGGCCUGAGAGGGCGCACGGACACACUGGAACUGAAACACGGUCCAGACUCCUACGGGAGGCAGCAGUGGGGAAUUUUGCGCAAUGGGGGAAACCCUGACGCAGCAACGCCGCGUGGAGGAUGAAGCCCCUUGGGGCGUAAACUCCUUUCGAUAGGGAAGAUAAUGACGGUACCUAUAGAAGAAGCCCCGGCUAACUUCGUGCCAGCAGCCGCGGUAAUACGAGGGGGGCAAGCGUUGUUCGGAAUUAUUGGGCGUAAAGGGUGCGUAGGCGGUUUGGUAAGUCUUGUGUGAAAUCUUCGGGCUCAACUCGAAGUCUGCACGAGAAACUACCGGACUAGAGUAUGGGAGAGGUGAGUGGAAUUUCCGGUGUAGCGGUGAAAUGCGUAGAUAUCGGAAGGAACACCUGUGGCGAAAGCGGCUCACUGGACCAUAACUGACGCUGAGGCACGAAAGCUAGGGGAGCAAACAGGAUUAGAUACCCUGGUAGUCCUAGCCCUAAACGAUGAUCGCUUGGUGUGUCGGGUACCCAAUCCCGUCGUGCCGAAGCUAACGCGUUAAGCGAUCCGCCUGGGGAGUACGGUCGCAAGGCUG
RNAcentral lists this ribosomal RNA (839 nucleotides) under uncultured bacterium. RNAcentral's name for it is "bacterial SSU rRNA". It matches the Rfam family "Bacterial small subunit ribosomal RNA", at positions 26 to 896 of the family's 1533-position model. The record is from RNAcentral.